RNAcentral lists this ribosomal RNA (445 nucleotides) under uncultured bacterium. Its description in RNAcentral is "bacterial SSU rRNA". It matches the Rfam family "Bacterial small subunit ribosomal RNA", at positions 29 to 478 of the family's 1533-position model. The record is from RNAcentral.
AUUAAACGCUGGCGGCAUGCCUUACACAUGCAAGUCGAACGGCAGCACGGGGGCAACCCUGGUGGCGAGUGGCGGACGGGUGAGUAAAGCAUCGGAACGUAUCCUGGAGUGGGGGAUAACGUAGCGAAAGUUACGCUAAUACCGCAUAUUCUGUGAGCAGGAAAGCAGGGGAUCGCAAGACCUUGCGCUCUGGGAGCGGCCGAUGUCGGAUUAGCUAGUUGGUGGGGUAAAGGCCUACCAAGGCGACGAUCCGUAGCGGGUCUGAGAGGAUGAUCCGCCACACUGGGACUGAGACACGGCCCAGACUCCUACGGGAGGCAGCAGUGGGGAAUUUUGGACAAUGGGCGCAAGCCUGAUCCAGCCAUGCCGCGUGAGUGAAGAAGGCCUUCGGUGUAAGCUCUUCGCGGGAGAAGUUAGCACGGGUUAAGUACCCUAGUGUAGAUGA